UACGAAGGGGACUAGCGUUGUUCGGAUUUACUGGGCGUAAAGCGCGCGUAGGCGGAUCGCUAAGUCAGGGGUGAAAUCCCAGGGCUCAACCCUGGAACUGCCUUUGAUACUGACGAUCUGGAGAUCGGGAGAGGUUGGUGGAAUUCCGAGUGUAGAGGUGAAAUUCGUAGAUAUUCGGAGGAACACCAGAAGCGAAGGCGGCCAACUGGCCCGAUCCUGACGCUGAGGCGCGAAAGCGUGGGGAGCAAACAGG
RNAcentral lists this ribosomal RNA (253 nucleotides) under uncultured bacterium. Its description in RNAcentral is "partial 16S ribosomal RNA". It matches the Rfam family "Bacterial small subunit ribosomal RNA", at positions 524 to 776 of the family's 1533-position model. The record is from RNAcentral.